AGCUCCAAUAGCGUAUAUUAAAGUUGUUGCAGUUAAAAAGCUCGUAGUUGGAUUUCUGGUGGGAGUGAUCGGUCCGUCCCAAGUGGAUGUGUACUAGGUCCACUCCUGCCAUCCUUGGGGAGAGCGUGCCUGGCAUUAGGUUGUCGGGUUCGGGAUCCCCAUCCUUUACUGUGAAAAAUUAGAGUGUUUAAAGCAGGCUUAUGCCGUUGAAUACAUUAGCAUGGAAUAAUAAGAUAGGACUUUGGUGGUCUAUUUUGUUGGUUUGCACACCAAGGUAAUGAUUAAUAGGGAUAGUUGGGGGUAUCCGUAUUUCGUAGUCAGAGGUGAAAUUCUUGGAUUUACGAAAGACGAACUACUGCGAAAGCAUUUACCAAGGAUGUUUUCA
Molecule: ribosomal RNA, 385 nt
Filed under: uncultured eukaryote
Lineage: Eukaryota
Description: SSU rRNA
Rfam family: Eukaryotic small subunit ribosomal RNA
Source: RNAcentral